Molecule: ribosomal RNA, 531 nt
Filed under: uncultured bacterium
Lineage: Bacteria
Description: bacterial SSU rRNA
Rfam family: Bacterial small subunit ribosomal RNA
Source: RNAcentral
UAAUAGACUACCCCGGUAGUCCACGCCCUAAACGAUGCGAACUGGAUGUUGGGUACAUUACGGUACUCAGUGUCGAAGCUAACGCGUUAAGUUCGCCGCCUGGGGAGUACGGUCGCAAGACUGAAACUCAAAGGAAUUGACGGGGGCCCGCACAAGCGGUGGAGUAUGUGGUUUAAUUCGAUGCAACGCGAAGAACCUUACCUGGCCUUGACAUCUGUCGAAUCCUGCAGAGAUGCGGGAGUGCCGCAAGGAACGACAAGACAGGUGCUGCAUGGCUGUCGUCAGCUCGUGUCGUGAGAUGUUGGGUUAAGUCCCGCAACGAGCGCAACCCUUGUCCCUAGUUGCCAGCACGUAAUGGUGGGAACUCUAGGGAGACUGCCGGUGACAAACCGGAGGAAGGUGGGGAUGACGUCAAGUCCUCAUGGCCCUUACGGCCAGGGCUACACACGUACUACAAUGGUCGGUACAGAGGGUUGCGAAGCCGCGAGGUGAAGCCAAUCCCAGAAAACCGAUCCCAGUCCGGAUUGGAGU